RNAcentral lists this ribosomal RNA (440 nucleotides) under uncultured soil bacterium. RNAcentral describes it as "bacterial SSU rRNA". It matches the Rfam family "Bacterial small subunit ribosomal RNA", at positions 27 to 463 of the family's 1533-position model. The record is from RNAcentral.
GGAUUGAACGCUGGCGGCAGGCCUAACACAUGCAAGUCGAGCGGCAGCACGGGUACUUGUACCUGGUGGCGAGCGGCGGACGGGUGAGUAAUGCCUAGGAAUCUGCCUGGUAGUGGGGGAUAACGCUCGGAAACGGACGCUAAUACCGCAUACGUCCUACGGGAGAAAGCAGGGGACCUUCGGGCCUUGCGCUAUCAGAUGAGCCUAGGUCGGAUUAGCUAGUUGGUGAGGUAAUGGCCCACCAAGGCUACGAUCCUUAGCUGGUCUGAGAGGAUGAUCAGCCACACUGGGACUGAGACACGGCCCAGACUCCUACGGGAGGCAGCAGUAGGGAAUAUUGGACAAGUGGGGGCAACCCGUGAUCCAGCAAUGCCGCGUGAGUGAUAGAAGGUCCUUAGGUUGUAAAGUCUUCGUUUACCCGAGUAUGAUAGUGACAGUAU